This 549-nucleotide ribosomal RNA is filed under the name Colletotrichum gloeosporioides. RNAcentral's name for it is "eukaryotic LSU rRNA". The stretch from base 177 to 330 matches the Rfam family "5.8S ribosomal RNA". The record is from RNAcentral. Lineage: Eukaryota; Fungi; Ascomycota; Sordariomycetes; Glomerellales; Glomerellaceae.
GGGGUCUCUGGGGUUCGCACUACACCCUUUGUGACAUACCUAUAACUGUUGCUUCGGCGGGCAGGGUCUCCGUGACCCUCCCGGCCUCCCGCCCCCGGGCGGGUCGGCGCCCGCCGGAGGAUAACCAAACUCUGAUUUAACGACGUUUCUUCUGAGUGGUACAAGCAAAUAAUCAAAACUUUUAACAACGGAUCUCUUGGUUCUGGCAUCGAUGAAGAACGCAGCGAAAUGCGAUAAGUAAUGUGAAUUGCAGAAUUCAGUGAAUCAUCGAAUCUUUGAACGCACAUUGCGCCCGCCAGCAUUCUGGCGGGCAUGCCUGUUCGAGCGUCAUUUCAACCCUCAAGCUCUGCUUGGUGUUGGGGCCCUACAGCUGAUGUAGGCCCUCAAAGGUAGUGGCGGACCCUCCCGGAGCCUCCUUUGCGUAGUAACUUUACGUCUCGCACUGGGAUCCGGAGGGACUCUUGCCGUAAAACCCCCAAUUUUCCAAAGGUUGACCUCGGAUCAGGUAGGAAUACCCGCUGAACUUAAGCAUAUCAAUAAGCGGAGGAA